AUGUUUUGUAAUAUCAUAUCGUUUUAUAACGAUAUUUAUGUACUGUAUGCGCCUAAAUGUUUCUCAGAGACAUUUCCUUUCACUCGCGAAGCGGAACAGAUGAGGACAUUUUUCAAAACGGGAAAUCCCGAAAAUUUGAAUUGCUCUGCAGUGCACAGAUGCGGAGGUCACUGGGAAACACCAGAAGUAAGUUAACCGUUUUAAACGUUACCUAAUUUAAAAUGUGUUUUAUAACAUCAUGUUAUUUAUAGUGAUAUCUAACGUAUCUGCUGUAACGUUACACUCCUAAACUUUUUCUCAGAGAUAUUUUCCUUCACUCACGAUCCAUCCCUAAUGACGUGACAUGACAUUCAGCCAAGUAUGAUGUCCCAUACUUAGAAUUUGUGCUCUGCAUUUAACCCAUCCAAAGUGCACACACACACUGUGAACACACACCCGGAGCAGUGGGCAUCAAUUACGCUGCGGCGCCCGGGUUUGGUGCCUUGCUCAAGGGCAUCUCAGACGUGGUAUUUACGUUUUUGUUUUGCUCCCUCCUCUGCUCUUCAGUGUUCGUCACUUCUCACCAUGCAUGUGCUUCGUCGACAUCCUUACGUCAUCCGCCCAGAAGGGCUUCUGCGUACAACACUUAGUGCAAGCUAGAAAAACAUUUUAUUAUGGAAGGAUGCACUUUAUUUAACUUUUUUUGGACUGUUCAACAGAAACACCCACCCACUGCAAAUAUAAAGCUUGGAAGAGCCAGGACAUUUUUAAUAAAACACUGUCUGGGUUGGGAGUGGUCACAUGUAUUUCUUCUGUAGAUUAAAAAAAAUAAUAAUAACAUUUGGUGUUCCUCAGAAGACAGAAGGUCAUACAGGUUUAGAACCACAUGAGGAUAAACACAUGACAGAAUCUUCAGUUUUGGGUGAACUAUUGUUUUAUUGAAAUUCAUACUAUUUGACAUUUCACCUGAUAAUAGUUUUGAUAAAUGGAUUUGAAAUGAUUUUGUAUUUUUUUUGUGUGUUUUUAUUUAUUAAUUUUAUUGUUGUUCUUUUUCAAUUUUACAGGGGAAGGUGUAUGAUGCUGUAAAUAGGAGUGGAUCUUGCUAGGCUGAAAACUGCUGAGAAUCACAUCUUGUCGUGCUGAAAAAAAAAAGAAGUUUAGAGAAGACAAAAAGACUAUUCUCUCCAAGGAGGUCCAAACACCAUCACAGACUUUGAUUAGUGAGAAUUAACAUGUAUUCUGCAUUUAUGGUACACAGACUUUGAUUAGUGAGAAUUAACAUGUAUUCUGCAUUUGUGGUAAUAAAUGGUAUGCUGUUGUUUAAACUGAUAAAUGUCAGCAAUAUAAAUCUUAUGACAUUGAGAGUACAUAUGGACCAAAUAAGAAUGUUUUUUGUGUCUUUGUUUUGACAUUAGGAUGUUUAAUUGUUUUAAGACCAUGUUCUUUAAAUUUUUUUAAUUUUAAAUUGUUUUGAAUUGAAAUUACAAUGUUUUAAUAAAAUAAAUAUAUGUAAACAUUUUAUUGUUUUGUGGGUUUAUUUAUAUAUAUAUAUAUAUUUUCACCUGAACACUGGGGCAGUGUUGACCAGUUAAUCCAUGAGUGUUAAUUUUUAACACCAACUUUGGUGUUCUCAUCAUCCAUUCUGGUGUUAAUAUUUUACACCUUAAGAGUAAGUUGGUUAACACUGUCAGAGUGUUAAUAAUGUUAACUCUUUCAAAAGUGUUAAUUUAACACUUUACCAGUGAUUCCCAUAUAUACUAUGGGCAAGUGUUAAUUUUAACUCUGAGGGAGUUAAAUCCACUCUUUAAAAUUUGCUGUGUACAAUGAUUCUCUAUGGUGCUGAAACCUAAAAGGAAUUCCCAUCCUCAUUCAACUGAUAAUGAACUGCCUUUGGCUCAUCUGCAUUUGCUGGGAGGGGCUUACUGAUGCAGUUGGUCAGUUACGAUUCUUUGGUAUUUGAUGGAUCCACCUC
Molecule: long non-coding RNA, 1951 nt
Filed under: Carassius auratus (goldfish)
Lineage: Eukaryota; Metazoa; Chordata; Actinopteri; Cypriniformes; Cyprinidae
Description: lncRNA (ENSCARG00000008658.1)
Source: RNAcentral